This 142-nucleotide ribosomal RNA is filed under the name Cronobacter malonaticus 681. RNAcentral's name for it is "Large Subunit Ribosomal RNA; lsuRNA; LSU rRNA". It matches the Rfam family "Bacterial large subunit ribosomal RNA", at positions 674 to 815 of the family's 2925-position model. Lineage: Bacteria; Pseudomonadati; Pseudomonadota; Gammaproteobacteria; Enterobacterales; Enterobacteriaceae. The record is from RNAcentral.
AAACCGAGUCUUAAUUGGGCGUUAAGUUGCAGGGUAUAGACCCGAAACCCGGUGAUCUAGCCAUGGGCAGGUUGAAGGUUGGGUAACACUAACUGGAGGACCGAACCGACUAAUGUUGAAAAAUUAGCGGAUGACCUGUGGC